CAUGGUGGUUAUUGCGUUGGGGAUCACUUCUUCCCAUUCCGAACAGAAUAGUUAAGCCCAACUGCGCCGAUGGUACUGGAUAAAACCGGGAGAGUAGGUCGCCGCCAUAC
Molecule: ribosomal RNA, 110 nt
Filed under: Cryomorphaceae bacterium
Lineage: Bacteria; Pseudomonadati; Bacteroidota; Flavobacteriia; Flavobacteriales; Cryomorphaceae
Also listed under: 3 other names
Source: RNAcentral